RNAcentral lists this ribosomal RNA (497 nucleotides) under uncultured bacterium. RNAcentral describes it as "partial 16S ribosomal RNA". It matches the Rfam family "Bacterial small subunit ribosomal RNA", at positions 28 to 507 of the family's 1533-position model. The record is from RNAcentral.
GAUGAACGCUGGCGGCGUGCCUAAUACAUGCAAGUCGAGCGAACGGACGAGAAGCUUGCUUCUCUGAUGUUAGCGGCGGACGGGUGAGUAACACGUGGAUAACCUACCUAUAAGACUGGGAUAACUUCGGGAAACCGUAGCUAAUACCGGAUAAUAUUUUGAACCGCAUGGUUCAAAAGUGAAAGACGGUCUUGCUGUCACUUAUAGAUGGAUCCGCGCUGCAUUAGCUAGUUGGUAAGGUAACGGCUUACCAAGGCAACGAUGCAUAGCCGACCUGAGAGGGUGAUCGGCCAAACCGGAACUGAGAAACGGUCCCGACUCCUACGGGAGGCAGCAGUAGGGAAUCUUCCGCAAUGGGCGAAAGCCUGACGGAGCAACGCCGCGUGAGUGAUGAAGGUCUUCGGAUCGUAAAACUCUGUUAUUAGGGAAGAACAUAUGUGUAAGUAACUGUGCACAUCUUGACGGUACCUAAUCAGAAAGCCACGGCUAACUACGUG